Molecule: long non-coding RNA, 829 nt
Filed under: Mytilus galloprovincialis (Mediterranean mussel)
Lineage: Eukaryota; Metazoa; Mollusca; Bivalvia; Mytilida; Mytilidae
Source: RNAcentral
GCUUUUCAUUUGUAUUGAACUCACAAACUAAGAAACAAAGCAACAUAUCUUAAUGAGGAAUGUUAAUAGUCAAUCUCAUUUAUUAAAAUUUUAAAAUAUAUAAAAAGAAUAACAAAAUGAGGAAAUGUUUGUCCAAGAAAAAUACACUUAAUAAGCAUAUGCUACAUCUAUUUAUAGCCUCACUUCAUUCCAUCAGUAAUAACAUCAUUUCCGAUAUUCUUAUUAUAUAUAAUCAAGAAAAAAAAGUGUCUUAUAAUGUGUUAAAUCUGGCAAUACAAAAUUUAAAAUAUUUUCAAAAUUAAGAAGCAACCCAACCUAUACAAUACCUAUCAAUUCAGUCAAAAUUACUUGAUUCUCCCAAAUAUGUAAAUAGAUACCCAUAUGUGACACAAUAAAGGAAAUGUCCCAUAUUUUGUCUGCAAACAAAAGGCUUCCAGUUUCUUAACAAAUAUAACAUUAAAAACUCCAUUCAUAAGCACAAACAGAAUUCAUACAAUGCAAAUGAAUUAUUAAAAAGACAAAUCAACAUAUGAUUUACCAUAUGUCUCCUUUUACAUUUGAGGUAAAUGGAUUUUUUCAAAAAUAUUCAUUUAUUUUUCAAUGUUAUAAAUCAAAGCUUAUAGAGAAUGAACAUAUUUUUAAAUUAAGAAUCUAUAUGGUUUUAUUACAUAAAGAAUCCACAAAAAAUAUAUUAUGUGCAUGCCAUUUAAUAUAUUCACAUUUUAUCAUGUAUAUAAUGCCACAAAAUGAGAUCCUCAAAAAUUACAAAAUGUUAUAGGCCAUUUAGCAUUCUUGCUUUCUUAUGUGCCAUAAUGAAAGAAAUAAACAA